Molecule: ribosomal RNA, 469 nt
Filed under: uncultured bacterium
Lineage: Bacteria
Description: partial 16S ribosomal RNA
Rfam family: Bacterial small subunit ribosomal RNA
Source: RNAcentral
UAGGGAAUCUUCCACAAUGGACGCAAGUCUGAUGGAGCAACGCCGCGUGAGUGAAGAAGGCUUUCGGGUCGUAAAACUCUGUUAUUGAAGAAGAACGUGUGUGACAGUAACUGGUCAUGCAGUGACGGUAUUCAAUCAGAAAGUCACGGCUAACUACGUGCCAGCAGCCGCGGUAAUACGUAGGUGGCAAGCGUUGUCCGGAUUUAUUGGGCGUAAAGCGAGUGCAGGCGGUCUUUUAAGUCUGAUGUGAAAGCCUUCGGCUUAACCGAAGAAGGGCAUCGGAAACUGGGAGACUUGAGUGCAGAAGAGGAGAGUGGAACUCCAUGUGUAGCGGUGAAAUGCGUAGAUAUAUGGAAGAACACCAGUGGCGAAGGCGGCUCUCUGGUCUGUAACUGACGCUGAGGCUCGAAAGCGUGGGUAGCAAACAGGAUUAGAUACCCUGGUAGUCCACGCCGUAAACGAUGAAUAC